This is a non-coding RNA of Pelobates cultripes (western spadefoot toad), 226 nucleotides long. NCBI's taxonomy places the organism in Eukaryota, Metazoa, Chordata, Amphibia, Anura, Pelobatidae. The record is from the annotation of a GenBank genome assembly.
GCCAGAUCAUGGCAGCAGUGAGGGGUAAAACCCCAUUACCAUUUGAAGGAUCGCACUUAACCUUCUACCAGGACCUCAUUAAAACUACACUUCAAUGGCGCAAAUCACUGCAGUCACUCACCAGCCGCCUGCGCUCCGCGGGGAUAACAUACAGAUGGGGCAUGCCAAGAUCCCUACUAAUAGUACACAACAGGACGACCCACAAGCUUACAACUGAAGCGGAGGC